GAGAGAGGUAUAAUACAAUAAGAACUGCUAACUCUU
This 36-nucleotide transfer RNA is filed under the name Gopherus polyphemus (Florida gopher tortoise). Its description in RNAcentral is "partial tRNA-Ser". The record is from RNAcentral. Lineage: Eukaryota; Metazoa; Chordata; Testudines; Testudinidae.